Non-coding RNA from Parelaphostrongylus tenuis, 75 nucleotides. The record is from the annotation of a GenBank genome assembly. Lineage: Eukaryota; Metazoa; Nematoda; Chromadorea; Rhabditida; Metastrongylidae.
GAUAGUGCAGUGGUUCAAUGAGCAUGAGUCUCCUGGAGAGGGCUAGACGCGCGGGUUCAAUUCCCGCCUGAUUCA